GACGAACGCUGGCGGCGUGCUUAACACAUGCAAGUCGAACGGAAAGGCCCUGCUUUUGUGGGGUGCUCGAGUGGCGAACGGGUGAGUAACACGUGAGUAACCUGCCCUUGACUUUGGGAUAACUUCAGGAAACUGGGGCUAAUACCGGAUAGGAGCUCCUGCUGCAUGGUGGGGGUUGGAAAGUUUCGGCGGUUGGGGAUGGACUCGCGGCUUAUCAGCUUGGUGGUGGGGUAGUGGCUUACCAAGGCUUUGACGGGUAGCCGGCCUGAGAGGGUGACCGGCCACAUUGGGACUGAGAUACGGCCCAGACUCCUACGGGAGGCAGCAGUGGGGAAUAUUGCACAAUGGGCGGAAGCCUGAUGCAGCAACGCCGCGUGCGGGAUGACGGCCUUCGGGUUGUGAACCGCUUUCGCCUGUGACGAAGCGUGAGUGACGGUAAUGGGUAAAGAAGCACCGGCUAACUACGUG
This 468-nucleotide ribosomal RNA is filed under the name uncultured bacterium. RNAcentral's name for it is "partial 16S ribosomal RNA". It matches the Rfam family "Bacterial small subunit ribosomal RNA", at positions 28 to 507 of the family's 1533-position model. The record is from RNAcentral.